RNAcentral lists this ribosomal RNA (279 nucleotides) under uncultured bacterium. Its description in RNAcentral is "partial 16S ribosomal RNA". It matches the Rfam family "Bacterial small subunit ribosomal RNA", at positions 75 to 353 of the family's 1533-position model. The record is from RNAcentral.
CUUGCUUUCUUUGCCAGCGACCGGCGCACGGGUGAGUAACACGUAUCCAACCUGCCCUUUACUCGGGGAUAGCCUUUCGAAAGAAAGAUUAAUACCCGAUGGCAUAAUGAUUCCGCAUGGUUUCAUUAUUAAAGGAUUCCGGUAAAGGAUGGGGAUGCGUUCCAUUAGGUUGUUGGUGAGGUAACGGCCCACCAAGCCUUCGAUGGAUAGGGGUUCUGAGAGGAAGGUCCCCCACAUUGGAACUGAGACACGGUCCAAACUCCUACGGGAGGCAGCAUG